This is a long non-coding RNA of Hylaeus anthracinus, 2759 nucleotides long. RefSeq lists it as uncharacterized. NCBI's taxonomy places the organism in Eukaryota, Metazoa, Arthropoda, Insecta, Hymenoptera, Colletidae. The transcript is spliced from 3 exons. The record is from RefSeq and is a predicted model, not a curated record.
AUUUUAUUAAUUUAGUCUAUUUCAUUCCUUUUUACGUUUACCGUCUAAUGCGUAUAAUACUAGGUUGUCUACUUGCUACCAAUAACUCAUUUUAUAACAUUACAAUCAAACAAUAAUUAUUCUUCAAAGUAAUUCGCUUCUGAUAGUUUUCAUCCAUCUUUCUGCCAAUUGUUCAAUCCCCAUUUGGAUGUCAAACGUCAUACAGAAUUUUAAUGUCAAAAAUUCAAGCAUUAAAUGACAAAGAAUUUUAAUGUCAAAAAUUCAAGCGUUAAAUGUCAUAAAGGAUUUUAAUGUCAAAAAUUCAGGCUACAAAGUGUCUGCGAACUUAUGAGACAACCCAGUAUAUGCGUAUAACAAGGUAUCGACGAAAUACAAAAAAUAAAGCAAAAUAAUUUAUGUACGCGAUACGGUAUACUUUUUAUAAUAGCGAAAAGCGACCGGUUAAGGUGUCUGCACAAUUUAUUUUCGAAGCGGAGCGACUUUCAAAUUCGACCUUUGAAAGCCGAUGCAAUAAUAGAACGGUAUAUAAACCGAGACGCGCGUUUAGUGCCAACUGCGAGUAAUGUUCGAGUACAUGUUUAAUGUACGAAAAAGUUUCGUUUUAAAGAGAAUUAGAAAACUGUUGUCGUGCGUUUGCGUUAAACGAUAGAGAAUUGGGUCGAAGCGGAACGAGCGCAUAAUUUGUACGACGAAGUCGCCGUGCAUCGAGGAAUUCGUGUCGUCGUGGAGGUUGCGAUGCGCGAAAAAUCUUUUCUGCCUCGGAGUAUCUGAAACGCAGGAAACACGGUGACUUAACCCUCCGUACCCUCUGUGGUGUGUAUAGAGGGCGGAAGUACCGUAACGGCAACCGACGUCAGCAGUACCACUACAUCUUCGAGAUCUUAAGUACACAAACCCCGUUACAUAGAAACCCCGCGAAACGACGAGAAAGAAGAAAGGAAAAGAAAUAGAAAAACGGAGAAGCCGCACAAGUUUCGAUCGCAUCGCAACGAUUUGGAGUAAUCGUCGGUAGUCGGGGCUCGAGAAGCGUGUACGAGAUUGAGAUCGACAGGAUUAUAUUCGGUCUCACCGGUACAUAGAUAGCACACUGGGCCAGUCAAUCGAUAGAUUAGAAUUUUCAUUUACCGUGAGUCGACGGAUGCACCGUAAGCGAAUACUUUAUCGGACAUCGAUGACACAGGUUGAUUCGACGGUUAAGCAAUCUUGCGAGCGAUAAAAAAAAAAAAAAAAUCCAAAGGCUGCCGAUAGGUUUCCGAUUCGGUUGAUCACAGAGCACGGGGUACAGGCGUCAUAGUCGAUGGGAUCGAAAAAUCACUGCCGGCACUCGGUCAGUCAAUCGAUAGCGCGGAAUUAGUAUAACCGUGUUUGCACGGCUGACACGAACCCAACGAACGUUGAUGCGUAUCGGUCGAUGCGAAACAUGCCAGAACGAAUUUCGGUUCGGCUCUCGACUCGGACGAUGCGACUCGGCGACGCGUCAGCUCGUAGAAAUUGGUCGAUCGACGGCCACGAAGAAAUCAGGUUGUAUCUUCUCGCGAUCCGUCCACGAUAAUGCCGCAAAGGGGUCACGAUGAUUACUGACUGCGAGCGUCGCGACGUUAUCCCGCGGACGGGCGCAUGCGCGGCGACGACCCCUUUUUACCACCGCUUGCUCCAACAUCCCUUACGCGAAUUUCUUUUUCCCCGGUGAAGGUGCAAUUCUACCGUACGGUUGACGUAUCGUCGCAGCGAUUCUCAACUCGCCGAUCAAUUCACCCUUAGGACCGAAUAAACAACAGAACCGAAUAACCUCGCACCCUAAUUGUAUCGUUAUCGACCUUUCGUCGCUCGAUUAUUCUAAUUACGCAUCUACCCGGGGACUUUCAAAACUAAUUACGUGUGGAUUUCUAUCCUAGGUAGGAUUUUUUAUUCAAAGGAUUUAAUCGGUGAAAUGUCUUUGAACGACAAGUUUUUAACAUUGAAUUAAAUCAACUUUAUUUCGUUACAGUUACGUGAGAUCGGUAUAACGCAAAUUUUGCGACAGUGUAUGGCGCGCGAUGCAAUGCGACGAAUAAACUUGGUGUCUAUUUUACAUAACAAAACAGUGACGAAUCAAACAACGAAAAGACACUGCAAUUCGUCGCAAUUGAAACGGCAAUUUAUCAAUAGAGUAUUAGAUGAAAGGACCAAGUUUUAUCAUCGGAGAAGUUUCGCUCGCUCGGCGCGUCGUAAAUACGAAUAAUAAAACGGAAACGAAAGAGUAUCGGUACGCUAUUAUCCGAAUGGAAAGCGAACAGACUUCGCGGCGUCGUAUUUCCCUUUCGCGAGCUUUACGAGACGAGCUACAUACGCGCAUUCCGGAGUACGAUUUCAGCUUGACCCUCGUUUCCUGGUAAACAACCGAUUAAACGGGAAAUUUAUUUUUAUCUUGCCGCUAGGUGACGUAAAGACGUCGUUAUAAAUAGUUCCAUAAGUAUCCUAUAAUUACGUCACGUCGACGAAACCUUUGAAAUUCCCUUCUUCGACCCAUAACACGCGGUUCAGUGGGCAAUUGCAAGUGGAUUUUCGUGAAGCGUGAACAACCCCUCAAGCUUUCCUGUUCUUUGAAAUACACCCCUCUAUAUAUACAUAUACAGACUUCGCUGAGCAAGGGUUCCUGCGUGGGAUGCAGAAGCGCGAGACCUUCUCUUCUCCUGGUGGCUUCGUGUUGUUCGUAAAGAGCCAAAGCCCUCGCGACUUCAAACUUUCUCGCCGUUAAAAAUUUCACGGCUGUGCUCCAU